This 468-nucleotide ribosomal RNA is filed under the name uncultured bacterium. RNAcentral's name for it is "partial 16S ribosomal RNA". It matches the Rfam family "Bacterial small subunit ribosomal RNA", at positions 28 to 507 of the family's 1533-position model. The record is from RNAcentral.
GACGAACGCUGGCGGCGUGCUUAACACAUGCAAGUCGAACGGAAAGGCCCUGCUUUUGUGGGGUGCUCGAGUGGCGAACGGGUGAGUAACACGCGAGUAUCCUGCCCUUGACUUUGGGAUAACUUCAGGAAACUGGGGCUCAUACCGGAUAGGAGAUCCUGCUGCAUGGUGGGGGUUGGAAAGUUUCGGCGGUUGGGGAUGGACUCGCGGCUUAUCAGCUUGUUGGUGGGGUAGUGGCUUACCAAGGCUUUGACGGGUAGCCGGCCUGAGAGGGUGACCGGCCACAUUGGGACUGAGAUACGGCCCAGACUCCUACGGGAGGCAGCAGGGGGGAAUAUUGCACAAUGGGCGGAAGCCUGAUGCAGCAACGCCGCGUGCGGGAUGACGGCCUUCGGGUUGUAAACCGCUUUCGCCUGUGACGAAGCGUGAGUGACGGUAAUGGGUAAAGAAGCACCGGCUAACUACGUG